AUUGAACGCUAGCGGCAGGCUUCACACAUGCAAGUCGAACGAGUGGCGGACUGGUGAGUAAUGUAUCGGAAAUUGCCUGAUGGCGGGGGAUAACUACUGGACACGGUAGCUAAUACCGCAUACCAUUAUAUCUGCCGCUAUGGGAUUAGCUAGUUGGUGGGGUAACGGCGCACAAAGGCAACGAUCCCUAGCUGGUUGGAGAGGACGACCGGCAAGAAUGGGACUGAGACACGGACCAGACUCGUACGGGAGGCAGCAGGGGGGAAUAUUGGACAAUGGGCGAAAGCCUGAUACAGCCAUGCCGCGUGUAUGAAGAAGGCCGUCGGGUUGUAAAGUACUUUCGGCAGAGAAGCGGUACCCGAAGAAUAAGCACCGGCUAACUCCGUGCCAGCCGCCGCGGUAAUAC
RNAcentral lists this ribosomal RNA (406 nucleotides) under uncultured bacterium. RNAcentral's name for it is "partial 16S ribosomal RNA". It matches the Rfam family "Bacterial small subunit ribosomal RNA", at positions 30 to 526 of the family's 1533-position model. The record is from RNAcentral.